AGUGAACGCUGGCGGUAGGCCUAACACAUGCAAGUCGAACGGCAGCACAGUAAGAGCUUGCUCUUACGGGUGGCGAGUGGCGUACGGGUGAGGAAUACAUCGGAAUCUACUUUUUCGUGGGGGAUAACGUAGGGAAACUUACGCUAAUACCGCAUACGACCUACGGGUGAAAGCAGGGGAUCUUCGGACCUUGCGCGAUUGAAUGAGCCGAUGUCGGAUUAGCUAGUUGGCGGGGUAAAGGCCCACCAAGGCGACGAUCCGUAGCUGGUCUGAGAGGAUGAUCAGCCACACUGGAACUGAGACACGGUCCAGACUCCUACGGGAGGCAGUAGUGGGGAAUAUUGGACAAUGGGCGCAAGCCUGAUCCAGCCAUACCGCGUGGGUGAAGAAGGCCUUCGGGUUGUAAAGCCCUUUUGUUGGGAAAGAAAAGCAGCAGGUUAAUACCCCGCUGUUCUGACGGUACCCAAAGAAUAAGCACCGGCUAACUUCGUGC
This 493-nucleotide ribosomal RNA is filed under the name uncultured bacterium. RNAcentral describes it as "partial 16S ribosomal RNA". It matches the Rfam family "Bacterial small subunit ribosomal RNA", at positions 29 to 508 of the family's 1533-position model. The record is from RNAcentral.